This 426-nucleotide unclassified non-coding RNA is filed under the name Trichaptum fuscoviolaceum. Its description in RNAcentral is "partial internal transcribed spacer region". The stretch from base 1 to 46 matches the Rfam family "Eukaryotic small subunit ribosomal RNA", at positions 1786 to 1831 of the family's 1831-position model. The record is from RNAcentral. Lineage: Eukaryota; Fungi; Basidiomycota; Agaricomycetes; Hymenochaetales; Trichaptaceae.
AAGUCGUAACAAGGUUUCCGUAGGUGAACCUGCGGAAGGAUCAUUAACGAGUUUUGAAGUGGGCUUGAUGCUGGCUAUAUAGGUCGCGCGCCUAGUACAAUGAUGACCUUGUCGUAGAUAGCAGAGACAUAGGAGACAUACAGUGAACGUGUCGAGACUACCAGUCAGGUCAUGCGCGAGUUAUAAUGGCAUGUGCUCAGCCUCGCUCCGAUCUACUUAACCCCUGUGCACUAUACGGAGUGUCGCAAGUUGAGACUUGAAUUAGAGGCCUUAGUCGCAUUUGUAAUGUGGCUGGGUGUCUAUCUAAGUCGGUCAAGGCUUGUCCUCUGGUCUAUAUACAAACUCUUAUAAUGUCUUGUAGAAUGUGUCAGCCUCUUGUUAGGCGAAACUUAAAUACAACUUUCAACAACGGAUCUCUUGGCUCUC